UUCAAGCUAAACGAAGCUCCAUGAGGGCGAACAAGGCACUCUAAGUGAAAAGAAAAAAUUCUCAAAAUAACCAACCCUGCAACAGAUUUAAAAAUUACUAUAACCGUCAGUUGCCUAAAUGGCUAGUAAUCUGCCACCAAAAGCUUAUUUGUAAGAAAAUCAUAUAAUCUUAGAAACUUCACUCCGAAUCAUAUACUGGAGCUGGGGUUCUUACAUGAUUUAAAGUCAUAAAACUGAUAAAAGAUAAUUUCUUCAAUGUCUUUACGAGUUUAACCCAGUUCAAGUCUGUCCCUAAUAUCAUCACUAACCUUAAACCAUCUAGCUUCAGAUUAGUGACAAAUAUACGGGUUAGGUCUACCACCAACACAUGCAAUUGGACCACUAGUGAAGCAGAUUCCUUGCACUAAAGAUGUUUCGCCAAAUCACCUGUAGCAUGUGAUUUCCAAUAGUCCCAUCAGAGUGCAUAAAUGGAAAAUGAAUUCUUCUCUUUAUUGAGGCGCCAAACUGUUAUUCCCAAUUUAUGUCACAAGCUGAUGAUAUAUCACAUAAGAAUACCUGCAAAGUGCAUCUCUUUUUCUCUAUGGCGGAAUGAAGUACGUAGACAUUAACAAUAAACAUGAUGAAGACAUAAAAUAGAAUACAUGAAGUACAGAGAAAAACCAAAGACGAACUGACCACAGCAAUAAAACGAACUAGUAACUUUUUAAGCCCAAAUAGAAGAUGUGACAUCGUUAAUAGACAUUUUGAAAAGUAUAUUACCAUCACAAAAGGAUCAAUCAGACACUAACUUCAUCUAGUUUUUAUCAAAAGGAUCAAUCAGACACUAACUUCAUCUAGUUUUUAUCCUAAAGAAACACAGCUGAUUCUAUCAGUGUAUCAGAUUACCAAUAACAACAUUCAUAUGUUAAUCUAGAUAUCUUUUCUUUUUUCUACCUUUCCGCGUCCUCUUACAGGUGCAUCUUAUCCUGUGAUCUUGCGGCAAAGCUUCAUAUCUUAAUGUUCCAAUUCCAAGAACCUUAAAUUUAGUGAUAGUGAGCAACUACAACUUAUAUCUUAGUGGUUUGCAAGUUGGAUAAUUCUAACUAACAUGAAAAUGUUAUCAGUUGCAGCAAAGCAAAAGAGGCAAGAGCUUCAUAAGCAUUUAACUAAUAAUGCAGUAUUAUUUCAAAAUUAAGCUUUAAGGAGAGACAUAGCCUGCACAAUCUAGGGUACUAGAAGCAUUACAUAUUAACAUCGUUAAAGUGAAUUAAUUUAUGAUGCCUCACCGUGUAUUGGCUAUUCACCUAUCAAUAUGCAAACACAGACCUAAUAGAAAUUAAUGCAGCUUACUCGGACAUGAUUUUUUUUAAUUCCAAUUUCAGCCAUGAUAAUUAAGGUACCUUAUCUAGGCACAAAACUUAAAAUUCUUCCUCUUAAUAUGUCCUCCAUUCCUCUCCCUUUAAUCAAUAUAAUCAGCAUGAGGAAGGGAGCUAUGCAUCUCUUCUUAGCAAUCAAAUCCAGUUGGGAAUUUACGCUGGCAGUCAAUCUGCAUAUAGAACUCCCUUCUACAUAUCCUGACAUAUUUCUCCAAAACACUUGAAUAAAAUAGAGCCAAGCAGUUGGUGUAACAUCACAUUUUUCUUCCACUAAGAAAUCCUUUAACCAUUUUAUUUUGCAUAAUGUUGACCAUGAAGAAUCAUACAACUACCCCCCAACUUGUUGACAUUGAGGCAUAUUAAUUAUCGUAGAAACCGUCCAACCACCUCAUUAGCAUGAAAUGGAGAACGAAUACGAGGGUAGCUUACUUUAAUAUGCUUUAUAUUUAAUCUAUGUGCACACACAAAUGGACGCCUGAUUACACAAUGUGCUUACAAGUGCAGAACCCCAGGAAUUUCCUAAUCACAAAUGACCGGAAUUCAGAAGAAAGAUUAGCCUACUUAAUCACCAUGCACCCUAAACCAUUGUAAACCAGAGAACUAGCAAACCAAAACCCUCUGAAAGGAAUAUAAAACACAAGCUUUGCUUGAGCUUGAGUAUUGCAGGGGUGAAUCACACUAAACUCAUGGAGUGACCAAUAAUAACCCCCCCGCCUGCACAAUCUAGGGUACCACAAGCAUUACAUAUUAACAUCGUUAAAGUGAAUUAAUUUAUGAUGCCUCACAGUGUAUUGGCUAUUCAGCCAUCAAUAUGCAAACAGAGACCUAAUAGAAAUUAAAGCACCUUAUUCAGACAUGAAUUUUUUAUUAAUU
RNAcentral lists this long non-coding RNA (2228 nucleotides) under Nicotiana benthamiana. Its description in RNAcentral is "long non-coding RNA (NBEN_LNC005448)". The record is from RNAcentral. Lineage: Eukaryota; Viridiplantae; Streptophyta; Magnoliopsida; Solanales; Solanaceae.